Molecule: small RNA, 112 nt
Filed under: Pseudomonas citronellolis
Lineage: Bacteria; Pseudomonadati; Pseudomonadota; Gammaproteobacteria; Pseudomonadales; Pseudomonadaceae
Source: RNAcentral
GCGUACAGGGAAUGACGCAGGCCGACAGGGAUGCCGGUCAGGACGUCGCGGGAUGCGAUUCAUCAGGAUGAUGGGGUAGGGAAAAAAGGGCGGGCCAUCCCGCCCCUUUUUU